GGACCUUUAGCUCAGUUGGUUAGAGCAGUCGGCUCAUAACCGAUCGGUCCUGGGUUCGAGUCCCGGAGGGUCCA
This 74-nucleotide transfer RNA is filed under the name Lachnospiraceae bacterium NK3A20. RNAcentral's name for it is "rumen bacterium NK3A20 tRNA". It matches the Rfam family "tRNA". Rfam says of the family: Transfer RNA (tRNA) molecules are approximately 80 nucleotides in length. Their secondary structure includes four short double-helical elements and three loops (D, anti-codon, and T loops). Further hydrogen bonds mediate the characteristic L-shaped molecular structure. tRNAs have two regions of fundamental functional importance: the anti-codon, which is responsible for specific mRNA codon recognition, and the 3' end, to which the tRNAs corresponding amino acid is attached (by aminoacyl-tRNA synthetases). tRNAs cope with the degeneracy of the genetic code in two manners: having more than one tRNA (with a specific anti-codon) for a particular amino acid; and 'wobble' base-pairing, i.e. permitting non-standard base-pairing at the 3rd anti-codon position. The record is from Rfam by way of RNAcentral. Lineage: Bacteria; Bacillati; Bacillota; Clostridia; Lachnospirales; Lachnospiraceae.